Molecule: ribosomal RNA, 1072 nt
Filed under: 'Quercus humboldtii' aster yellows phytoplasma
Lineage: Bacteria; Bacillati; Mycoplasmatota; Mollicutes; Acholeplasmatales; Acholeplasmataceae
Description: bacterial SSU rRNA
Rfam family: Bacterial small subunit ribosomal RNA
Source: RNAcentral
GGCCUACCAAGACUAUGAUGUGUAGCCGGGCUGAGAGGUUGAACGGCCACAUUGGGACUGAGACACGGCCCAAACUCCUACGGGAGGCGGCAGUAGGGAAUUUUCGGCAAUGGAGGAAACUCUGACCGAGCAACGCCGCGUGAACGAUGAAGUAUUACGGUACGUAAAGUUCUUUUAUUAGGGAAGAAUAAAUGAUGGAAAAAUCAUUCUGACGGUACCUAAUGAAUAAGCCCCGGCUAACUAUGUGCCAGCAGCCGCGGUAAUACAUAGGGGGCAAGCGUUAUCCGGAAUUAUUGGGCGUAAAGGGUGCGUGGGCGGUUAAAUAAGUUUAUGGUCUAAGUGCAAUGCUCAACAUUGUGAUGCUAUAAAAACUGUUUAGCUAGAGUAAGAUAGAGGCAAGUGGAAUUCCAUGUGUAGUGGUAAAAUGCGUAAAUAUAUGGAGGAACACCAGUAGCGAAGGCGGCUUGCUGGGUCUUCACUGACGCUGAGGCACGAAAGCGUGGGGAGCAAACAGGAUUAGAUACCCUGGUAGUCCACGCCGUAAACGAUGAGUACUAAACGUUGGGUAAAACCAGUGUUGAAGUUAACACAUUAAGUACUCCGCCUGAGUAGUACGUACGCAAGUAUGAAACUUAAAGGAAUUGACGGGACUCCGCACAAGCGGUGGAUCAUGUUGUUUAAUUCGAAGGUACCCGAAAAACCUUACCAGGUCUUGACAUGCUUCUGCAAAGCUGUAGAAACACAGUGGAGGUUAUCAGUUGCACAGGUGGUGCAUGGUUGUCGUCAGCUCGUGUCGUGAGGUGUUGGGUUAAGUCCCGCAACGAGCGCAGCCCUUAUUGUUAGUUACCAGCACGUAAUGGUGGGGACUUUAGCAAGACUGCCAGUGAUAAAUUGGAGGAAGGUGGGGACGACGUCAAAUCAUCAUGCCCCUUAUGACCUGGGCUACAAACGUGAUACAAUGGCUGUUACAAAGGGUAGCUGAAGCGCAAGUUUUUGGCGAAUCUCAAAAAAACAGUCUCAGUUCGGAUUGAAGUCUGCAACUCGACUUCAUGAAGUGGAAUCGCUAGUAAUC